This 492-nucleotide ribosomal RNA is filed under the name uncultured bacterium. RNAcentral's name for it is "partial 16S ribosomal RNA". It matches the Rfam family "Bacterial small subunit ribosomal RNA", at positions 29 to 507 of the family's 1533-position model. The record is from RNAcentral.
AGUGAACGCUGGCGGUAGGCCUAACACAUGCAAGUCGAACGGCAGCACAGUAAGAGCUUGCUCUUACGGGUGGCGAGUGGCGGACGGGUGAGGAAUACAUCGGAAUCUACUUUUUCGUGGGGGAUAACGUAGGGAAACUUACGCUAAUACCGCAUACGACCUACGGGUGAAAGCAGGGGAUCUUCGGACCUUGCGCGAUUGGAUGCGCCGAUGUCGGAUUAGCUAGUUGGCGGGGUAAAGGCCCACCAAGGCGACGAUCCGUAGCGGGUCUGAGAGGAUGAUCAGCUAGCUUGGAACUGAGGAACGGCCCAGACUCCUACGGGAGGAAGCAGUGGGGACUAUUGGGCAAGGGGGGAAAGCCUGAUCCAGCCAUACCGCGUGGGUGAAGAAGGCCUUCGGGUUGUAAAGCCCUUUUGUUGGGAAAGAAAAGCAGCAGGUUAAUACCCCGCUGUUCUGACGGUACCCAAAGAAUAAGCACCGGCUAACUUCGUG